UUUAAAAUAUGCGGUAUUAUGCGUCUAAAUCGUUUUUUUCGCGUCUAUUCAUCUCUUCUCAUCAACCAUCUUCUGUUUCGUGAUCUUCUCAUCAACCAUCUUCUGUUUCGUGAAGAAGUAUCUUCCAAGUCUAUGGAUGUCAUUCAUCUUCUUUUCUUCUUGUAAUUUAUUUUUUCUAAGCAUUUUUUUCGUUCCGUAAGUUGAUUGUUUCUUCUGUACAUUUUUUUCUUCGAUUCAAAUUUGAUUUUCAUUCGAUUGCUUAUCGUUUCUUCUCAUAAACCCUAAUUUCUAUUACCGAUAUGCAUGUUUUUUUAUGGUUUCGGGGCAAAGCUCAUUGAAGCUGCAGGGGAUGAAUGUUAGAACCACCGUGAUGCUUGAGCAGGGAGUGAUUCUGCUAUUGUUGAUUUGCUGAAAUUUUUUCAUUGUUGAUUAAGCAUGCAUAAUUUUGCAGAGAUGGAGAAAAUAUGGCAUGUACCUGCUUACUUUGUUAGAACGCCAUUGCCCUAUAAUUUUUUUAGAGGAAAGAAUGUUUGGUUCCUCCACCAGAUGGAUAUAAGCCUCCAAUCAGAUGGCCAAAGAGCAGAGAUGAGUGUUGAUACAGUUUUCAAACUACAUUCUUUUGUGUGCUCAACUGAUGUGAACAUUUUCUCCUACAAAUCUCUAAGGAUGCUUGAAGAGAGGGAAGGAUGACAGUUCAGUUGCUAUUGAAGUAUCUGGUUAGCAAACUUGGACAGGAAAGCGAAUCAGAGGGACAGAGCAUAGGAGGGACAUACCUAAAGUUAACAAAUUGCCAUUUGAAGGACAUCAAAAUCUUGGAUGUAGUUGGAACUGGUGCGUGAAAUAGCUUGCAGGAUUUGGAGGACUUCCGACUAACCAUAGGAUAAAUCUCAGGCGGUCUUGAGAUUUCAAACAUUUCUUCUUUUUCUUCUUCUUUGUUUUCAAGAAGAAACAAAGACAAUGGCUACUCUCGUCGACUCUCAUUUCUUAGCGUUCACCGCACUUGUCACUAUUGACUAUCAGUUUUUGUUUUUCGACAUCACCGCGCUCCUCAAAUUCGACAAAGUCACUGAUUUUUCCGGCAUCCUUAUUCUUUACUGCACUUUGACCUUUUCCUUGAUUUCAAAAGGAAGCACGAAUUUCAUUAUAAUUGCUGUAUUGACACGGGUGAUCAAAGGCUCGUGGUAUUUUUGACAGGUGUGGACUGUGAGUUUACCGGUCACAUUGGUUAAUGCAAGCGACAGAAAUCCCUUUCUACAUGUUGUGGAUAUAAUAGGUUGGAUUUUGGUGAGGUAAGUGCUAUUAUUGCUUUCAAACUAAAAUAUUUUGGUAUUGCAGGGUUGUAUAUGGAAGAAUGUAAUUAAGCAGAUGAGGAAAUCACAAGGAUGCAAUAUAAUUGAGAUAAGAUUUAUAUUGGUGGUCCGAAUGCAAUUUUAUACUUUGAACAUGAUUUGUCCAUCCUUGUUCGUGUGCUCCCACCCUCAUUGGCAUGAUGUCUCAUGGAUGUCUCAUGGCUUCUUAGGGCAAAAAAUUCCAUCAAUUACAGCGGCGGUGAUUAAUUAUUGGUCUUAUGUUGUUUUUAUGUUUAUUUGUUUCGAACCAAUAAUUGUCUAACCUUAUAUGAGUAAUGUUGUUAUGCUUAGGUGGUUGGUUAUCGAUAAUGACUCCUAAUGAAAGACUAGCGCAUUUGUCCAUUCUCAGUCUCUAUAUAUUGAGAUGAUUGAUAAUUUGCUUAGGUAUAAUGAGGUGUUGUGUGUUGUGCGCUGUGCGUCGUGUUUUGUGCGUUGUGAACAGAGCCUAUCAUCUAUGUUUUAGGGGUUAGGGUUUUCGAUAAUGGCGUCUAAUACAAAAGUAUAGGACAUCUAUGUGUACAUAUUCCAUCUUUGUACAUUGAGAUGAUUGACAAUUUGCUUAGGUUUCAUGGGGGUGUGGUGGUGUGUGUUUUUAAUUGUGUUGUGUGCUUUGUCGUGUGUUGUGCGUUCUUUAUUAUUAGUUGUGUGUUGUCUACUUUGUUGUGUUAUGUUAUGUUUUGUGUGUUGUGCACAAAGCAUGUGUCCAUACUCAGUCUUUGUACAUUGAGAUGAUUGACAAUUUGCUUAGGAUUCAUGAGUUGUAGUGUGUGGUGUUAUGGUGUGCGUUUUUCUAUUUUACAUUGUGUAUUGUGUGUUAUGUGUUAUUAGUUGUAUGCUUUGUGUUGUGUGCUUUGUUGUGUGUUGUGUGUUCUUUGUUAUUAGUUUUGUGUUGUUUGCUUUGUUGAGUUGUGUUAUGUUUUGUUGUGGUGUGGUGUGGUGUGAGUUUUUGAGUUUUGGGUUGUGUUGUUUGUUAUUACUUGUGUGUUGUGUGUUAUUAAUUGUGUUGUGUGUUGUGUGCUUUGUCGUGUGUCAUGUGUCAUGUGUUCUUUGUUAAUAGUUUUGUGUUGUCUGCUUUGUUGAGUUGUCUUAUGUUUUGUUGUGUUGUGGUGUGUGUUUUUGAGUUUUGUGUUGUUUGUUAUUACUUGUGGGUUGUGUGUUGUGUUUUGCAUGUUGCGUGUUAUUAGCUGUGUGUUGUGUGUUAUACAUUGUGUGCUGUGUUGGUUGUGGUUCUCAACCUCUACUAGUAAUUAUUCUAUUUCUAUCCAUUUUGACUUUACUGAAGUACAAGGUCAAGUAUUAUAAGCUCCUAAGGUAAAUUGUUUUUAAAGUAUUCGACUAUUAUGUAAAAUUUAUCAUGCAUCACUAAUCUUAACUAUAUUAAUUUUUCAUUGUUUAAGAAAAAAUUUAAAUUUGAGCCAUAGUUUCAUUUGUUGUUAUUAAUGUUUUGUUCAAUUUGAAAUUAUUUUCAGUUGGAGAUAUGAGAGGGAAAUGGCUUCAAUCCAAGAAAUGAGUGAUGAAACUUCAAUAAUAAGCUUGGUGUCUUAAAUUCAACAUUACAAGAUUUUGGCAGAACUUCAAUUGACUCUAGUUGACAUAGCUUGUUUUCAAUUGCAACUCUUGAGAUGAUAUUAGGUCAUUGUUGUUUCUUUAGCCACUUGACCAAAUAAAGCCUACCUUGAAUCAUUUACCAUUGAACCCAAAUUUUGAGCCUGUUUUGACCUGUUUUUGUGACUGACCUGCUCAUUUCAAGCCCUUAGACCAGAAAAACUCUAUGUACCUUGCUAUUUGAUCGGUUCAAGAGACCGUUUGCACAUCUUAAGGAGCAUUAUGGGAACAGUGAACAAAGCACUCCAUUGCAGAGACAACAUGUCUCCUUACCUA
Molecule: unclassified non-coding RNA, 3230 nt
Organism: Vigna unguiculata (cowpea)
Lineage: Eukaryota; Viridiplantae; Streptophyta; Magnoliopsida; Fabales; Fabaceae
Source: RefSeq, a predicted model, not a curated record